Molecule: non-coding RNA, 23 nt
Filed under: Arabidopsis thaliana (thale cress)
Lineage: Eukaryota; Viridiplantae; Streptophyta; Magnoliopsida; Brassicales; Brassicaceae
Source: RNAcentral
CAGGUUCAGAUGUGAGAAAUCUA